RNAcentral lists this ribosomal RNA (304 nucleotides) under uncultured bacterium. RNAcentral describes it as "partial 16S ribosomal RNA". It matches the Rfam family "Bacterial small subunit ribosomal RNA", at positions 506 to 807 of the family's 1533-position model. The record is from RNAcentral.
CAGCAGCAGCCGCGGUAAUACGAAGGGGGCUAGCGUUGUUCGGAUUUACUGGGCGUAAAGGGUGCGUAGGCGGACUGAUAAGUCAGGGGUGAAAUCCCAAGGCUCAACCUUGGAACUGCCUUUGAUACUGUUAGUCUUGAGUUCGAGAGAGGUGAGUGGAACUGCGAGUGUAGAGGUGAAAUUCGUAGAUAUUCGCAGGAACACCAGUGGCGAAGGCGGCUCACUGGCUCGAAACUGACGCUGGGGCACGAAAGCGUGGGGAGCAAACAGGAUUAGAUACCCCCGUAGUCCCUGUCUCUUAUAC